RNAcentral lists this non-coding RNA (23 nucleotides) under Cricetulus griseus (Chinese hamster). Lineage: Eukaryota; Metazoa; Chordata; Mammalia; Rodentia; Cricetidae. The record is from RNAcentral.
GCAUUCGCUGUAAGCUCUAAGAC